GAACGCUAGCGGCAGGCUUAACACAUGCAAGGUCGAGGGGCAGCACGGGUAGCAAUACCUGGUGGCGACCGGCGCAAGGGUGCGUAACGCGUGAGCAACAUGCCCUAUACAGGGGGAUAAUCCAGGGAAACUUUGGUCUAAUAUCCCAUAGUAUUUAGAGGAGGCAUCUUCUAUAAAUUAAAGCUUCGGUGGUAUAGGAUUGGCUCGCGUGACAUUAGCUAGAUGGUGAGGUAACGGCUCACCAUGGCUAUGAUGUCUAGGGGUUCUGAGAGGAAGACCCCCCACACUGGGACUGAGACACGGCCCAGACUCCUACGGGAGGCAGCAGUGAGGAAUAUUGGACAAUGGAUGGAAAUCUGAUCCAGCCAUGCCGCGUGCAGGAAGACGGCCCUAUGGGUUGUAAACUGCUUUUAUAUGGGAGCAAUAAGGUUUACGAGUAGACCGAUGAGAGUACCAUAUGAAUAAGCAUCGGCUAACUCCGUG
Molecule: ribosomal RNA, 483 nt
Filed under: uncultured bacterium
Lineage: Bacteria
Description: bacterial SSU rRNA
Rfam family: Bacterial small subunit ribosomal RNA
Source: RNAcentral